CAUAUGCUUGUCUGAAAGACUAAGCCAUGCAUGUGCAAGCGAAGCUUGAAAAAGUGGAACCGCGAAUGGCUCAUUAAAUCAGUUACUAUCUAUUAGUUGAUUUGCAAGCUAAAUGAAUAACUGCGGUAACCCUGCAGCUAAUGCAUGCUGAUUGUCCGACACUGUCGGAGACUUUUACAAGACUACACCGGGUGAUUUGCUAAGUACAGACACAUCCCGUGAUGAGUCCUAGUAACUGAAAGAUCCCAGAUAGCUUCGGCUUGGGGACGGAACUUCCGAAUUUCUGACCUAUCAACCUAUGAUGGUAGUGUAACGGACUACCAUGGUUGUGACGGGUAACGGGGAAUCAGGGUUCGAUUCCGGAGAGGGAGCCUUAGAAACGGCUACCACAUCCAAGGAAGGCAGCAGGCACGCAAAUUACCCACUCUCCGCACGAGGAGGUAGUGACUAGAAAUAAUGAUAUGAACCUUUAUGGUUUGUAAUCAGAAUGGAAUGGACUUAAAAGCUCCAUUGAUGAACGAGU
RNAcentral lists this ribosomal RNA (523 nucleotides) under Convolutriloba macropyga. RNAcentral describes it as "SSU rRNA". It matches the Rfam family "Eukaryotic small subunit ribosomal RNA", at positions 25 to 549 of the family's 1831-position model. The record is from RNAcentral. Lineage: Eukaryota; Metazoa; Xenacoelomorpha; Acoela; Convolutidae.